GAUUAUGGCUCAGGAUGAACGCUAGCGACAGGCUUAACACAUGCAAGUCGAGGGGCAGCGCGGAGGUAGCAAUACUUCUGGCGGCGACCGGCGCACUGGUGAGUAACACGUAUGCGACCUGCCCCGGACAGGGGGAUAAACCCGGGAAACUGGGUCUAAUACCCCCAUAUGUGCCAUGGAUGCAUGUCCUUGGCAUGAAAGAUCCGUCGGUCCGGGAUGGGCAUGCGGCGCAUUAGCUUGUUGGCGGGGUAACGGCCCACCAAGGCAACGAUGCGUAGGGGUUCUGAGAGGAAGGUCCCCCCACACUGGUACUGAGACACGGACCAGACUCCUACGGGAGGCAGCAGUGAGGAAUAUUGGUCAAUGGGCGAUAGCCUGAACCAGCCAAGUCGCCGUGCGGGAUGAAGGCCCUCCGGGUCGUAAACCGCUUUAGCCGGGGAGUAACGUGCGGGACGUGUCCCGCAGUGAGAGUACCCGGAGAAUAAGCAUCGGCUAACUCCGUGCCAGCAGCAGC
RNAcentral lists this ribosomal RNA (514 nucleotides) under uncultured bacterium. RNAcentral's name for it is "bacterial SSU rRNA". It matches the Rfam family "Bacterial small subunit ribosomal RNA", at positions 15 to 518 of the family's 1533-position model. The record is from RNAcentral.